Pseudopipra pipra is the source of this 455-nucleotide long non-coding RNA. RefSeq lists it as uncharacterized. Lineage: Eukaryota; Metazoa; Chordata; Aves; Passeriformes; Pipridae. The record is from RefSeq and is a predicted model, not a curated record. The transcript has 2 exons.
AAGUCUGAUGUCUGCUGCAUAGCUUUGAAAAUACAGAUUUGCUAGGCACAACAGGGGUUUGCAUUUGUUAAUCAAAACUGCAAAACUGCAAGGCAAGGUAAAAUCUUUGAAGUUUGAUUAUCCUCAAUUUUUACUUCCUAAGGAAGUCUCUGAUUAAUUGCUAUAUUUGUUAUUUAGCAUAAUUGGUCCAAAUUCAAAUGCCAGAUCACUGCAACGAUCUACUUAUGAACAGGGGAGCAGUGUUUCCUUUGCAGCAAGAAGCAAGGGAUUAGUCAUGAAGAAGGAAGAUGCAGAAGAGGAAAAGGAAGAAGACUCACUUUGGUGGCAAAUGAAGAGGACCCAAGAGCGAAGAUCAAAUGUUGGCCUGGAAAGUCAGGAUGAGGCUGCAAAGUGGGUGAAUUAGAUGCCUCUCCUUUCUCAGUUUGCUCAUUAUAUAAACGAUUUGACACAAGCCA